RNAcentral lists this ribosomal RNA (829 nucleotides) under Microbacterium sp. V4.BO.47. RNAcentral's name for it is "bacterial SSU rRNA". It matches the Rfam family "Bacterial small subunit ribosomal RNA", at positions 219 to 1060 of the family's 1533-position model. The record is from RNAcentral. Lineage: Bacteria; Bacillati; Actinomycetota; Actinomycetes; Micrococcales; Microbacteriaceae.
GUCAGGAUGAGCUCUGCGCCUAUCAGCUAGUUGGUGAGGUAAUGGCUCACCAAGGCUUCGACGGGUAGCCGGCCUGAGAGGGUGACCGGCCACACUGGGACUGAGACACGGCCCAGACUCCUACGGGAGGCAGCAGUGGGGAAUAUUGCACAAUGGGCGCAAGCCUGAUGCAGAAACGCCGCGUGAGGGACGACGGCCUUCGGGUUGUAAACUUCUUUUAGCAGGGAAGAAGCGAAAGUGACGGUACCUGCAGAAAAAGCGCCGGCUAAUACGUGCCAGCAGCCGCGGUAAUACGUAGGGCGCAAGCGUUAUCCGGAAUUAUUGGGCGUAAAGAGCUCGUAGGCGGUUUGUCGCGUCUGCUGUGAAAACUGGAGGCUCAACCUCCAGCCUGCAGUGGGUACGGGCAGACUAGAGUGCGGUAGGGGAGAUUGGAAUUCCUGGUGUAGCGGUGGAAUGCGCAGAUAUCAGGAGGAACACCGAUGGCGAAGGCAGAUCUCUGGGCCGUAACUGACGCUGAGGAGCGAAAGGGUGGGGAGCAAACAGGCUUAGAUACCCUGGUAGUCCACCCCGUAAACGUUGGGAACUAGUUGUGGGGUCCAUUCCACGGAUUCCGUGACGCAGCUAACGCAUUAAGUUCCCCGCCUGGGGAGUACGGCCGCAAGGCUAAAACUCAAAGGAAUUGACGGGGACCCGCACAAGCGGCGGAGCAUGCGGAUUAAUUCGAUGCAACGCGAAGAACCUUACCAAGGCUUGACAUAUACGAGAACGGGCCAGAAAUGGUCAACUCUUUGGACACUCGUAAACAGGUGGUGCAUGGUUGUCGUCAGCU